This 65-nucleotide transfer RNA is filed under the name Cryptochila pseudocclusa. Its description in RNAcentral is "partial tRNA-His". It matches the Rfam family "tRNA", at positions 1 to 61 of the family's 71-position model. Rfam says of the family: Transfer RNA (tRNA) molecules are approximately 80 nucleotides in length. Their secondary structure includes four short double-helical elements and three loops (D, anti-codon, and T loops). Further hydrogen bonds mediate the characteristic L-shaped molecular structure. tRNAs have two regions of fundamental functional importance: the anti-codon, which is responsible for specific mRNA codon recognition, and the 3' end, to which the tRNAs corresponding amino acid is attached (by aminoacyl-tRNA synthetases). tRNAs cope with the degeneracy of the genetic code in two manners: having more than one tRNA (with a specific anti-codon) for a particular amino acid; and 'wobble' base-pairing, i.e. permitting non-standard base-pairing at the 3rd anti-codon position. The record is from RNAcentral. Lineage: Eukaryota; Viridiplantae; Streptophyta; Jungermanniopsida; Jungermanniales; Jungermanniaceae.
GGCGGACGUAGCCAAGUGGAUUAAGGCAGUGGAUUGUGGAUCCUCCAUUCGCGGGUUCAAUUCCC